RNAcentral lists this long non-coding RNA (775 nucleotides) under Physcomitrium patens. RNAcentral's name for it is "long non-coding RNA (PPAT_LNC006088)". The record is from RNAcentral. Lineage: Eukaryota; Viridiplantae; Streptophyta; Bryopsida; Funariales; Funariaceae.
CCUCUUUUCUUUUGUUUGUUAUUUUCUUUGAAUAAGAGGAUUGAGAGUUUCUGAAUAUUGUGAAGUGAACUAUGGAAUGGAAAUGUGAUUGGUAUUAUUUGAGAAGAAGAAAGAUUGAAUGCUGAAAUCUGAUUGUAGUUCAGCAGAGAGAAUGAGUCUGUGUUUGUAUGAAACACUGUAAUGUGAAUGGCAGUUCUGUGUGAAGAAUUCUAGUGAUUGGAACGAAGGUAAUUGUGUACUGAAAGCUGUGAGGGCGCAGUAUUACAGUUGGAGAUUAUGAGGGUGAAUAUAUUGGUGGAAAUAGCAGUUAUUGGUAUGACUGAGUUGUUGUAAGGAAGAGACUAAUAAGGUGAAGGAGGAGAUUAUAGUUUCCUUGUGUGUUUAGAUAUUGGAAAUAAAGACGAUACAUUCAAGAGAUAAUUGAUUGUGUGACCCUAAUGUGAACGCUUAAGCAACUAGUCAUUCUCUGUGUUCGAAUCCCCUAUACGGAUUUAUUCUGGGAGGUUUCUUUCAGAAUAAGUAAAACGAUCAACCACAUUUUGGCGCCGCUGUCGGGGAGUGAUAAUAGCUUUGAGUGUUAGGAAUUAAUUACCAAACGUGUGAGAAAAUUGGCAAUGGAAGACGGUUUCAAUAGUGUUUGAAGCAAGAUUAUGGUUAAUAAGAAUGAGAGCAUUACAUCGAAAAAAAUAAAUCAGUUGAGAAAAAGACAUGGAAGAGCGUAAGGAAGAAACUUGCUUAGAGAGGAGUAAGAACGUAAUUUUAAAAGGAAGCAUCG